AAAAAUUUCUCUUAAAAUCAGUUAAUAGAAGAAAGAGAAAAUCCUAUAUUUGUAGUAUCUUUUAUAAUUAUAUAGUUAUCAUGACCAUUGUUCUUUGUUCUUUUUUUUUUAAGAUUUUAUUAAUUUAUUCAUGAGAGACACACAGAGGGAGGCAGAGACACAGGCAGAGAGAGAAGCAAGCAAGCUCCAUGGGGGGAACCCAAUGCAGGACUUGAUCCCAGUACCCUGGGAUCACAACCCAAGCCAAAGGCAGACACUCAACCACUGAACCACCCAGGUGCCCCUGUUCUUUAUUUAUAUGGGUUCAAUUUACUGUUUGGGUCGUUUGCUUUUAGCCUAAAUAACUCCCUUUAAUGUUUCUUUUAAAAUAGGUCUGUUUUCAACAAAUUCUUUUGCUGGGCAUAGGAUUCUUGGUUGGUGGUUUUCUUUGUGUACUAGAAUGUCAACUGAUAACAUUACUGGGUUUCCCUUGAUGAUGAUAAGCCUGUUUCCAAGAGGCCAUAAUCAUAGAAGAGGUUUCCUCCUUUCCACGAAAGAGAGAGAAGACAUGACAGUGAGUAAAGGUACACAGGCCUGUCCAACAUCUUGGGCAAGUGUCUCGUCAGAUCUCAUCCACGUCAAUUCCAGGAAUUCUGUGCUCUCAGGUCACCAGAUGGUGCACAGUGCCAGUCGGGGUUUGCUGCUUUCAGAUGCAUCAUGCGAGUCCAAGAGUCUACGCUCUGGAGUGUGUCCGCACAAGGUUGGUGAGCAGAUCCUGAUAAGGGGUCUUUCCAGGGAGGUUGAAGAGUCUUUCUGGAGAUGUCUCUUCCAACAAACAAAAUCUCCAGAUUGCAAGGUGUGUGAUGCUUCAGGUCACUCUCCCUUGGGAACACUGGGGAGAGGGAUCUCCCUUUUUAUCAGCCGGUGGUCAGAGGAGCCAGGGAUCAAGGGGACUGGACACCCUGGGACUGUCUCAAAGUGUGAGAAUCUGUGUGUUCCCAAGGGGGUGGAGCCAAGGUAUUUGGAAUUCUUUACGAAUUUUGCCAGUUGAGUCCAAACAGUGCUGUUACUGCAUUUUAUUAACCCCGAGGAUUGAGCAUGGUGCACGAUGGAGGUAUUAGAAAGCCAGUCAGACUGUGCAGACGUCUUGAAGCACCUGACUGCUUCACCUAAAGUGGGCUCCCUGAUACCCAGAAAGUGUGAGAGGGUUCCCUAGGCAGGGGAUAAUUUUUUCUAACAGAAUUUUAACCACAGAAGAGGAGUUGGCCUGUCUACCAGAGCAAGCUUUGGUCCAAUGAGAGAGCAAAGGGAACAUGACUAAACCAUGUUUAAAUCCAUGAGAUGGGAAAGCUGUGUGAAGUCCAUUUGUAUGAACCGGCCCCCCUGCAUUUAUACUUUGGAAGGUGUGACGAACGAGGGGGGCAGUCGUGGGCUUUACUCUGUUUUCCCAUCAAUGUUGGUUCAUGAAUGCUUCCACUUUGUCAGGAGGCCAGUGGUUUAAUGCAUGUACAGUGGUAAGUAGUGGGAAUUUGAGAGUUUCUAGUUGGAUUAGUUUGUUAUUUGGUCUAAACCGGAGUUCUCUGGAUCCCAAAAUUAUUAGAUUUCCAAUUUGUUUUUCCUUUUCUGGGACCAGUUGUAAGGCAUCGCUUGUCAGUUUUUCCAAAUUAUCAUUUGGGAGAAUGUCUAUUUGGACCACGACAGAGGUUCGGCUUGAGAGCCGUGUUUUUGGCAGAAGUGUUAAUGGGGUUGUUUGCUUCAGCCUCUAGGGAGUCGAGUCUGGAACGCCGGGAACCUUCGUGGCAGCCAGAGAAGCCGGUAGAAGUGUAGUGUCUGAUAAGCUUUGGACACAGAAGCCCUUCUGUUAAGCCUUUUUGUUUUUAAACCCCCCAUUGCAGGGCUUGAGCUCACGACCCUGAGAUCAAAACCUGAGGUGAGAUCAGUAGUCAGAGGCCUAAUCGGCUAGGCCACCAGGCACCCCCAUCAGAGCCCAUUUUUAAUUUUAUCCCAUUGCAGGUGUUUUCCACAAUGUUUGAAGUCCUGAGCCGCUCAGAGGCAUACCAGCCACCAGACCUUUCUCCUAAGCUAAGGCACAAGCCCAGGUAACAACAGCAGGCUGAAGUAGCCAAUGGUGCUGCCUCCGUGACUUCGGGAUGGAGUUGUAGGGGCAGACUCAGCACCACAUUUGCCAUUUUCAUCCUCUACGUAAGAGCCAUCCGCAGAUCCUUCCUGCGUGGUUAGAGGCGCUUUCUGGCCGUUGUCCCAGGGAUUCAAAAGGUGAUCCAUCAGCAUCAAGCAGCUGUGCAGUCCUGGUUUUGAGGUCAGAUGCUCUAGGCUUCAAAACAAUGUGAGCAAACUAUACUUUUUCUUUGGAGGCUUUAUGUCCCUUUAAGACCAAAAGUUUUGGUGGAGGGGUGGGGGAUGCUCUUACUGGGAGGAGGUGUGAGAAGGGAGCAGAAGAGCAGAUCGUCUCCACAUUCUGGAAGAGUCGAGCCUGCAGAGAACAGUGUGCCAUCCUCAUCAGCUUUUGAGGUUUGUGACGAGUGAGAAGGACCCCGUGUGUCACCCUGGGUGUGACUGCCUGGUGUGCUGCUGUUGUUCCAGGUGAAGGUGGAAAGAUUCCGGCUGCCCUUAUGGGCCGGAACACUAGGAAGGCAGCCACAGGUCAAUUACCGGGAACUAUUUGCAGUCAGUGGGAACAGGUGUCAGCAGCAUGCGGGGAUUAGGAACAACAGGGUCCUGAGGGGUGAUGGUGUUACUACUGCUGCUCGGAGAUCCUCAGCCCACGGCUUCCUCACAGGUGAGGUCGGGGUGCUACAGGCACGAGUGCGGGGAGGGGGGCGGUGAAUCGCGAGGGCCUGAGGCUUCUCUAUCAUGCGCUUGACGCCCUCAAGGCUUCUUUAUUUAUAGGCUGUUGAGUAAUUCUAGGGAGGGGUUGUGAAGGAUCUAUUGGAAUCUUAUUGGGAGGUGUGCUGUGGGUUUUACCAAUAUCCCUUGGGGAUUUUUGCCCCAGAAAGAGGGUGGUCGCUGAUCCGAUAGGAAUAAAUGAUCGGUGUCCCCAGGCUCA
Long non-coding RNA from Vulpes vulpes (red fox), 3043 nucleotides. Lineage: Eukaryota; Metazoa; Chordata; Mammalia; Carnivora; Canidae. The record is from Ensembl.